UCCGAGUUGACCCCGGCAGUCUCCUAUGAGUCCCCGGCAUUACCCGCUGGCAACAUAGGACGAGGGUUGCGCUCGUUGCGGGACUUAACCCAACAUCUCACGACACGAGCUGGCGACAACCAUGCACCACCUGUGCACGGCCCUUACGGACCCCGCAUCUCUGCGAGAUUUCCGUGCAUGUCAAGCCUAGGUAAGGUGGGGAUGACGUUCUUGCUAGGUAA
Molecule: unclassified non-coding RNA, 221 nt
Filed under: uncultured Frankiales bacterium
Lineage: Bacteria; Bacillati; Actinomycetota; Actinomycetes; Frankiales
Description: contains 16S-23S intergenic spacer region
Source: RNAcentral